This 3359-nucleotide long non-coding RNA is filed under the name Homo sapiens (human). RNAcentral describes it as "HSALNT0178641". The record is from RNAcentral. Lineage: Eukaryota; Metazoa; Chordata; Mammalia; Primates; Hominidae.
GGAGAAUUAAUACAAUUUAACACAUCCCUAAACUCAGGAUAAAAAUAAGAAGUGGCUGGGCAUUCACCUCAGAAAUCCUUUGAUAAUGUUUGAAGCAAUACCAGUUUAAUACUGUUUAAGUCAGUUUCCUCUAUUAUUGUGGUUCAAUUGUUUAGUGACUUGGAAACCCCCAAAAUAUGGUUUUUUUUUAAUUUCAGUGCCUCCUUUCUUCCUAACACACUGGUGCAAACCUCAUACAGAGCACACUGGAGCUAGCAGGCACUGCACUUUAUGGCAUACAAGUGAAAGAAAGCGUAAAAUGGAAGAAGCAGCCCCUUCAAAUGGCUAAAGGUGGUGUGACUUCAGACAUGAGGAUCAGGAAAUGGAAGUAAAGGGGAAGUGGAAGAGUAAGGAGAGAAUGCCUGCUGUUCUCUCUAGUUUAGGCAUCAAUUUGCCUGGAGGCACUGCUUGUGCCCAACAGUACAAGAGCGAGCAAAAAUGUUUAAAAGUUAGCUAAUGCAAACCUAACGUACAGAUAUGACCAUAUAAAGCUAAACAAAUUAAAAAUCAAAGCCUGCUAGAACAUAUGUAAUUACAAAGUGUACAUUAUAAUUGCCCAUAUAAUUAAAUGUUUUUAAAAGAAAAUAGAAAAUACCCUAAUACCUUUUGUGGGAUCUACUCUACAAUAAAAACAGAAAACAAACAAAAAAAGCCAAGCAUAAUAUAUUAAGACUAUACCCAUCAGGUAGAGUAAAAUUUUAUUAAAUCUAACAACACACAUAACUGUCUUCCUUGAAUACAUGAUUCAGUUUAACAUGUACUUUAGGCCUGAAUUAUUCUUUUUCAUAUUGCAUGUGGUCAUACAUCUCACCAUAAAAUUGUUAGAUAAUUUUAGUUUACAACUGUAGACUAGAAUGCACGGACUAUUGCUCCACUUGAUAAAAUCUCAGAGAAAAAAAACUAAGUCUUUGAAUGAUGUCAUUAGUUUCAAGCUCAGUUUAGCUAUUUCUUACUAGAUUAGAAAUUUCUUUUAAAAGGCUCAUGUUUAAUGUUUUUUUAAAAAAAUAAUCCCCACAAUAUUUACUGUAGCUACAUCUGUACAUAGCAGAUGCUCAAUAUAUAUAUUAAGUGAAUAACCUCACUAAUAAAUGCUUGCUUACCUUCUUACCGGUGAGGUCUGUUUAAGAACUUAACAAAACAUCUAAAUUUAAGGCAAACUUCUUAAUCAUUAAAAGACUAAAAAGUAAGCCAGUUUGCAUUAACAGGCUCAUGUUAGCCAGACAAGUCCCUCUGUCUCCAUUACCUCCUAGUUCCUAGGACAAUGACAACAACCUCCCUCCAAACCUCCGUAACUUUACUCUAUGACAUAUCGAAAAUGGUGGAGAUGAAAUCUGUUUCUCUCUUUUCAUCUAAUAAGUGCCCUAAAGAAUAUUUGCUUUUUCAAAGGCAGAAGAGACACAACUAAAAAGUUUCAACCUAACCAGGCUCUGGCCCCAGCAAUACUACUAUUAAUGUAUGUAUGCCCUACCAGUGUCUACCACUGUAGACUCAUGCAACCUCUAGUACAUGCACCUGGUAAAAUCUUUUGUUUAAAUCAACACAUGUGGCCCCAGUUACAGUAAUCACCUUUCCACUUUAUCAAAUGCACCUAAAAAUAUAUUGUUACACACAGAUCAGUUACAGUACCAGUAAGAGAGACCAUAGUAAGUUAUAGUUACAAUUCCAGUUAAAAAGGCAUUUUUUUAACUUUGAUAUUUUCACUUCGAGUUAAAAUUCAAAUCAUUAAAUGCAAAAAUGAAACAAAAAACUAAUGGCUCAACUUACUUAAUAUCAUACAACUAAUUCAGCCAACCAUAGUAUAAACUAUGAGAAUCCUAACACAUUAUCUGUAUUUACCUUAAUAAAUUUAUUAGAUAUAUGUAACAUCUCAACCAAUAUCCAGACUGUUUUUAAAGAAUACAGUAGUAUAGUUUCCUCUUGAAAAGAAAUAUUCUCUGCAGGAGAGGAAAGAUACUUAGGAGCCUUGGGUGUCAGGGAUCUCACAAAGUCAACGUCAACUUUAUCCAUAACCACCAUCAUCUACCUCCAGUUAGGAGAAACCUGGGGAAGUCCACACAAAGCACAGAAUUGGGAGGACUAAAGUAGACUGCAGGGAGAGGAGGAUAAAACACCACCUUCAUUUGGCACAUCCUUUUAUAACUAGUAUCAACUAUAAAUCUAAAUUUUUUGUUGACAAUUUCAGCAUAUAUGUGGGCUUUUCAAAUAAGAAUUUGACUAACACCAACAGUUAGCUGUAUACACUUGAAAUCUCUCUCUGUAGCUUGAUUUUCCUCCUGAAAAAUAAAGGCAAUGACACAAUAGUCCCUUCUUUCUUGCCCCGAAAUUCAAUGAUAGUUUCUAGAGCAAAGGUUCUCAAACAUUCUAGCUUCACGGCACCCUCAGUAUCUCAGUAAUUUUCUCACAGCAGCCCUAGGCCAGAAAUAAUAACACUUCCACUUAUUAAGUAGUCAGUAGCCAUGUGAAAAAAUAACCUAGCUAAAUUUCAACAAAUAAUGUUUUUACUUCAUUCUUAACCAUAAUUACUUGUGAAAUGUGUAUUACUGUUGGGCACUGCACAACUUUUCAAACCUUGGAAUCAGAGUGGACCCUGCUAUCCUCUUUCCUGCUGCAUACUGACUUUUUUGUGAAUUUUACCACAGCAACCGCUAAAAAACCAGCUUCACAAAGACAUAUCAUCUAUAGAAAUGUGGCACAACCUUGAAACCAUGAAGUAUGUCAAGGCAGUAGCUCACCUGGCAACCAGCAAAUUUCGGCUACCACUGUAUCCUACUUGAAAAUUUAAACUAUCAGAUGGAGUUGGCAACAAUGCUCUAGGGUGCCUUGGUGCAGUUUGGAAACCAUGAUACUAUGGCAAGGUAUAUAAUUUUGUGGCUUUGGACUCAGACUUGGGUUGGAAAUCAUAUUCUACCAUUAACUAUAGACUCUUAAGCACCUUAAUCUAUUGAGCCUUAGUUUCUAUGCCUGCCAAAUAGGAAUAAUACUAUCAACUUCAGAGAACAGUUGCAAGGAACUAAAUCCAUGUCUUUUAACUCUUGUACACUACAACUCUUUCCCAAAAAGACUCAGUUCAAAUCUUGUUGGCUGAGCCACUAUCAUUUUAUCAGCUAUUUGAAACAGGCUGAAAGUUUGUAAUAGCUGAUAAAACGACAGAGGUUCACCCAACAAGCCAACUUUGAUGAUGAUAUCAUGGUUCAUCAUCAAAGUUCUGAAAAUCGUUUCCCUGCACAGUAACAGCAUUUCACCUGCAGAGACUUCUCAUUUGCCAAGUGUUCUGAACUGUGUAACAUUAAUUAAUAAUUAUUCUAAGAUCACCUUAUGAU